GACGAACGCUGGCGGCGCGCUUAACACAUGCAAGUCGAACGGAAAGGCCUGCUUUCCCUUGUGGAUUGCGGGUACUCGAGUGGCGAACGGGUGAGUAACACGUGAGUGAUCUGCCCCCAACUUGGGUAUAAGCCUGGGAAACUGGGUCUAAUUCCCGAUAGGACUGCAGGGUGGUGCCUGUGGUGGAAAACGAUUUUCUAGUGGUUGGGGAUGAGCUCGCGGCCUAUCAGCUUGUUGGUGGGGGAAUGGCCUACCAAGGCGGCGACGGGUAGCCGGCCUGAGAGGGUGGACGGCCCCAUUGGGACUGGGAUACGGCCCAGACUCCUACGGGAGGCAGCAGUGGGGAAUAUUGCACAAUGGGCGGAAGCCUGAUGCAGCGACGCCGCGUGGGGGAUGACGGCCUUCGGGUUGUAAACUCCUUUCGACCGCGAGGAAGCCACCUGGUUGGAAGGGUGGUGACGGUAGUGGUAGAAGAAGCACCGGCUAACUACGUG
Molecule: ribosomal RNA, 494 nt
Filed under: uncultured bacterium
Lineage: Bacteria
Description: partial 16S ribosomal RNA
Rfam family: Bacterial small subunit ribosomal RNA
Source: RNAcentral